UAUAUUAGAAACUGUUUAAUUAAAUAAAUAUUAAGUUACACCGUUUUCACCCAUAAUAUAAUUCAUCAUCAUGCCUAGCAACAAAUGAAUCAGUAGUACCAGAGAUUGGAAAUAAUAUGGGCGGCCGGCCAUUAUUCUUUGCUUCAAUCAUCAUCGUCAAUUCAUGGGAUUACCGUAGCUUGAUCCUCCCAGAAACCCACCGCCGCCACCGGAACCACCGCCGUAAACAUCCGAUGCAUCUAAUAUGGGCGACGAAGACGACCCACCACCGCCACCGCCCAAGUGCAAGUCGGAGAAGUUGGGGAAAUUACCAU
Molecule: long non-coding RNA, 314 nt
Filed under: Linum usitatissimum (flax)
Lineage: Eukaryota; Viridiplantae; Streptophyta; Magnoliopsida; Malpighiales; Linaceae
Description: long non-coding RNA (LUSI_LNC001018)
Source: RNAcentral